GUAUAAACGUUGAUUGGAAAAGUAAAACUUGGGACUGUAACAAGCGAGUCUAGGAUGGUGAAAGCUAGAUUAUAAGUUAAGUUUGAAUAACACCAUGAGUGAUGGAAGAAUUAAGUAGAACCAUCCGUAUUCCUGCGUUAAAGGAAAAAGUGCUAGAUAUUUCUAGAACUAAGGUGGUACCGCGGAUAUUAUUCGCCCUUAAA
Molecule: non-coding RNA, 203 nt
Rfam family: T-box leader
About the family: Uncharged tRNA acts as the effector for transcription antitermination of genes in the T-box leader family. T-boxes are found upstream of many aminoacyl-tRNA synthetase genes and some amino acid biosynthetic genes usually in Gram-positive bacteria.